GAUGAACGCUGGCGGCGUGCCUAAUACAUGCAAGUCGAGCGAACGGACGAGAAGCUUGCUUUUCUGAUGUUAGCGGCGGACGGGUGAGUAACACGUGGAUAACCUACCUAUAAGACUGGGAUAACUUCGGGAAACCGGAGCUAAUACCGGAUAAUAUUUUGAACCGCAUGGUUCAAAAGUGAAGGACGGUCUUGCUGUCACUUAUAGAUGGAUCCGCGCUGCAUUAGCUAGUUGGUAAGGUAACGGCUUACCAAGGCAACGAUGCAUAGCCGACCUGAGAGGGUGAUCGGCCGCACUGGAACUGAGACACGGUCCAGACUCCUACGGGAGGCAGCAGUAGGGAAUCUUCCGCAAAGGGCGAAAGCCUGACGGAGCAACGCCGCGUGAGUGAUGAAGGUCUUCGGAUCGUAAAACUCUGUUAUUAGGGAAGAACAUAUGUGUAAGUAACUGUGCACAUCUUGACGGUACCUAAUCAGAAAGCCACGGCUAACUACGUG
This 497-nucleotide ribosomal RNA is filed under the name uncultured bacterium. RNAcentral's name for it is "partial 16S ribosomal RNA". It matches the Rfam family "Bacterial small subunit ribosomal RNA", at positions 28 to 507 of the family's 1533-position model. The record is from RNAcentral.